Molecule: non-coding RNA, 241 nt
Organism: Pelobates cultripes (western spadefoot toad)
Lineage: Eukaryota; Metazoa; Chordata; Amphibia; Anura; Pelobatidae
Source: the annotation of a GenBank genome assembly
CCCCCAGACACAGCACCCACAGACACACACUGCACCCACAGACACACACUGCACCCAGACACACACUGCACCCAGACACACACAGCGCACCCAGACACACACAGCGCACCCAGACACACACAGCGCACCCAGACACACACAGCGCACCCAGACUCACACAGCGCACCCAGACACACACAGCACCCCCCAGACACACACAGCACCCAGACACACACAGCACACUCCCACACAUAUACAGCAC